CCACUCAUCAAGGGUGCAUGACCAUAAAAGAUAUUACUGAUAUAAAUAGAACAACCAUUAUUCUCUGAUUUAAAUAAAUAACCGUCUCGCAUCAAACAAGAUCCAGAUAUAAUCUUCAUGCUCAACGCUGGCACCAAAUAACAAUUAUUUAGGUCUAAAACUAAUCCCAACGGUAGAUGUAGAGGUAGCGUGCUGACGGUGAUCACAUCGAUUUUGGAACCAUUUUUCAUGCGCAUCGUCACCUCGUCCUUAGCCAAUCUUCACUUAAUCCGUAGCCCCUGUUUCGAGAUGCAAAUAUGAGCAACAGAACCAGUAUCAAAUACCCAGGCGCUACUACGAGAAUUAGUAAGGUACACAUCAAUAACAUGUAUAUCAAAUAUACCUUUCACUUUGCCAUCCUUCUUAUCCGUCAAAUACUUGGGGCAGUUCCGCUUCCAGUGACCAGUCCCUUUGCAGUAGAAGCACUCAGUCUCAGGCUUAGGUCCAGACUUGGGCUUCUUCACUUGAGCAGCAACUUGCUUGCCGUUCUUUUUGAAGUUCUCCUUCUUCACUUUUCCCUUUUUCUUGAAACUAGUGCUCUUGUUAACCAUCAACACUUGAUGCUCCUUCUUGAUUUCUACCUUUGCAGCCUUUAGCAUCGCGAAGAGCUCGGGAAUUGUCUUAUCCAUCCCUUGCAUAUUAUAGUUCAUCACGAAGCUUUUGUAGCUUGAUGGCAGUGAUUGAAGAACUCUGUCAAUGACACUAUCAACAGGAAGAUUAACUCCCAGUUGAUUCAAGUGUUUGUGGUACCCAGACAUUCUGAGUAUAUGUUCACUGACAGAACUAUUCUCCUCCAUUUUGUAGCUAUAAAACUUAUUGGAGACUUCAUAUCUCUCAAUCCGGGCAUUUGCUUGAAAUAUUAACUUCAACUCCUGGAACAUCUCAUAUGCUCCAUGACGUUCAAAACGACGUUGAAGUCCCGGUUCUAAGCCGUAAAGCAUGGCACACUGAACUAUCGAGUAGUCAUCAGCUUUGCUCUGCCAGACGUUCAUAACGUCCAGAGUUGCUCCUGCAGUGGGUUUGGCACCUAGCGGUGCUUCCAGGAUGUAAUUUUUCUGUGCAGCAAUGAGGAUAAUCCUCAAGUUACCACCCAGUCCGUGUAGUUGCUACCAUCAUCUUUCAACUUAGCUUUCUCUAGGAACGCAUUAAAAUUCAAAGGAACGGUAGCACGGCCAUUGAUCUACAACAACAAAGACAUGCAAAAUACUAUCAGGUACUAAGUUCAUGAUAAAUUAAAGUUCAAUGAAUCAUAUUACUUAAGAACUUCCACUUAGAUAGACAUCUAUAUCUAUCUAUCUAUAUCUAUACCUAUACUAAUUACAGACUCCCUAGAAAUUACCACGUUAAUUAGUAAUUAAGAACCGUACAUCUGGUGGGACCGAGUUAUUACGGUGUAGAUAAAUCCGAGUACAACAGAAAGCGAAAAAAAGGGACAUGUGAAAUUUGGCCUCAGAGUUUGACACAAAUUGCGCACUAUGCCACGGGCAAGUGGAAAAAACAAUUUGUUUUAUUUACCAUCCGUGCUAAUCUUCCUCUUUCUUCCUCUUCUCUCAGGCCCAUUCUUUAUCCCAUCUGCUUGCAGCGUCCCUAAAAAAAUCCCCUAGCAGCAUACAUCGUGCGCCUCCGCCGCCAGCCCACAACGGAGUCCCGGCCGCCGGCUCCCCGGUGCUCUCCGCCUCCCCGAAAGGCCGUUUCUCACCACCUUCCCGUACUCGCCGGCUCUUCGCACCUCCGAGGUCUCAGCUCUCCCAAAGAUCCUCUCCAACUCGGAGUUCCUCGCGUAGGGCACCGGCUCACACCGGCGUGCGGAGGCGAGGCAUGCCGCCGCUCCUCCGACCAGCCAACCAUAGCGGCGUGGCUCCUUUGACAAGCGGAGGGGCUCUCCUCUCCCACUGGUCGGCCUUGACUUCGACUCCUACAGCUGCACCUCGACUUCAGGUCACACCGGCCAGCAUUCUCCAUUGCCAAAUCUUAACCAUACCGAGUUCCUCCGACCAUCGUCGUGAAUCUCCAAUCAGAUAAGUCAGCCUUCAUGUGUAUCGCCCUUUAUAUCUCCACUCCGUUCCUCUUUGUUUUGAUAUAUAUCUCCACUCUGUUCUGAUUGUCAGGAAGAAGGUGGAUUGGUGGCCGUUUCCAGUAUGUACAUGGGACGACAACGGUUGGUUCCUUGGUUGAAGGAUGCAAUGCAUCUCGCUGAAUUGCAAGUUGUACUAUUUUGGGUCUGCCUAGAUACCCAAGCAGGGGAGAUAAAAGCUACAAGUUGGGAAGAAAAGCCAGGGAUGAUUCUCAGUGGUACUCUUUACUUGGUAUUUGAUGAUUACUCUUUACUUGGUACAAGGUUCUUGAUGAUUUUAAUAGUCUGACCCUGCUGUAGAAAGCACUUCACAUACAUGCCUGGAUGUGUUCGAGAUGCAUUGCAGUGUGUAUUCAUAGGUGGCCACGAAGGGCGACUAAAAGUAAUUCUGGGGAUCGAAAUCAGAUCGAGAUGCAUCUGCCUGAAUAUAAAAUAUAAGGCAAAGUUCAAUGUGUGCCCCAUCAUUGGCCCUGAUCUCUCUAUCUUCUUAGCCCUCCCAGUGCCCGGCCACUUUCAGUGGUUCUCCACUAAUUUCUCCUCUUUACCAAUCGAAUACGUUCAUCUAAUUCAUGUUUUAUAACAAAAAGAGGGGCCAUGCAGAUUAAUUCUUUACAUCGGCUCAAGUCUUAUUACUAGAAAUUGAUCUUUCUUCUCAAUUGAUUUAUCUAAUGUGGUUGUAGGACUUGCAGCCAAUAUAAAGAGAAGGAGAUUUUUCUUCCAAAUGCUAUAGUUGCACUUCACAUCAUUGGGAUCGUGGAUGUUGAUACCAAUUGGAUGUGCUCCCGUGUUGUCCCAAGUGCAGCAAUUUCUCGCUGAUGCAUCAGGCAAAGAUUUUUUUACCCAAAAGGCAAAGAUACAUAGCUAGCAGUUUAUCAGCGGAUGACUCUUGCUUUGUUGAUUGUUGUGCUUAAUCAAUAUCCUUACAGGUAACUCACAUGCCACCAUGAUCCAGUAUGAUAUUUGUUCAAAUGUAUAACAUACAUAUCUAUUUUUUCUUUCUAUGCUUGCACAUCUCCGAAGUCUAGACCAGAAUGCUGCUUUUAAUUAUGUUGGCUAUGCAUGCAUGUAAUGUGUGUUGUACAACUAUUUAGUAAAGCGUUCAUUGUAUUCUUUGCACAUGCCAUUUCCAACCUCUUCGAAAGCAUAUAUGUCAACCUGCUACUAAUCCAUACGUUUUAUAUACUUACAUUACUAUAUUUAUAAUUUAUUAUUAUUUUGGAACAGUUUCUGGGUAUAUCAGGACGUACCAAGUCAGUUUGAUAGAACUGAUUUGUGAACCCAGAUUAAUUGCAGAGCCAUACCUAAUUUUCAAAAGACUUGAGGGCUUUAAUAGACAGUGGGGCCUUUUUCCUCUAAUCAAUGUAGAAGUAUUUGAUCUUGCCUCAAAAAAGGUUACAUUGCCCUAGAUUAUAUGUGAAAAUUUAGUUAGCUUAUUUGUGUAUAAAUUAUGAAGAAUAAAACUAUGUUAUAAUCUGAAAAGAAAAUGUAUAGAGACAAGUAGAAAGUAAUGUGGAUUCGAACUACCCCGGUUAUAUAUUAAGACUAUUACAUCAUUGACCUUGCCGCGAACUCUGGAUAUUCUCGACUCUAGGUCCACAAAGUUCGUGUAUGCCAUACCUCUAAAAGUAAUGUUAGUGUUAUGAUUCAUUAGUAAAGCUUCUCCUCUAUUCAGAUUGAAUCUGAGAAGCCUAACAGCGAGCAAAUUCCUCUGUGUUGCUUCAGUUAUAUGGCUCGAGCUGGCCAAACCUGAAAACUUCAGUGAAGAGUGAAAGUACAUCUAAAGUACUUUCUGUUACCUACAAUCCUAUUACUUGAUUUUUAUGCUACUGUGCGUAUGGGUGAAUCUGCAAGAUGAUGCAAAAAUUUGCUUGCAGAUAGCAUGUGUGUAUGUGUACAGAUAUGCAUGUUGUAUGUUUAUAUCAAUUUUGCAACAUUGAUAUUUGUUCAGAUGGUUCUAAAUAGUUCUUCAGUGAAGAUUAAGAGUACAUCUACAUUACAUUUUGUUGCCUACCCUAUUAAAUGAUUUUUUUUGCUAAUUGUGUGUAUGGGUAAAUCUGCAAGAUGAUGCAAAAAAUUGCUUGCAGAUAGUCUGUAUGUGUACACAGAUGCUUCUAAGCAGUGCUCUAGCAGAAUAGUGCUCCCCUUUCCUUACUGUUGUUGCUAAAUAUUUGUUUUUUGUGGCAUAUGAGGACUGAACAGUAUCAGGCCAUCGACCUCACCCUGGGAGUCCACUUCUUCACGGUCACGACAUCCACCUUGACAUCCCUAUUUUGUGUUGUUUAGUUGCAUGUGGUUCAUGCAAACUUCCUGAAGCAUUUUAUUGAAAUUGGAUAGAACUGAGAAAAUCUAUGUAUACGUACAAUUUUGUUUUCCUUUUUCUAGCAGUUGAGUUCCAGAGACGAAUGGGGAUUGGGGAGGUGAACUUUGAGCUGGAACUCUCUAUGUGUUCUUGCAAUCAUAAUGCCGGGGGAUUAUAAGACAACAUACAGUUUGUUCAUUUUCUUUUGGAGUUCAUUCGCCGCGAGGAAAAAAUCUACUUGCUGCCUGAGAACCAAAGCCACAAUAGAUCAAGUUACUUGGUCGGAAGAAAUUGUCAAGGGCUGCAGCUUACACAUGAUCGGGGGUGGCGAUCUUAGUCUAUCUCACCUGAGUUACAUGUUAUAAAAAAUAGUAUAGAUGUAGAACAACCUACAGUAUAAUUGUACGUCUCAACUAUCUGUCAUAUGUCUUACUAACAUACCUUUUUUUGAACCGGUCUUAUUAUUAUAUUUUUUUGAAGCGGUCUUACUAUUAUACUCCCUCCGUUUCCAAAUAUAUGUCUUUCUAGAGAUUCC
This 4947-nucleotide ribosomal RNA is filed under the name Triticum aestivum (bread wheat). RNAcentral describes it as "partial small subunit ribosomal RNA". Lineage: Eukaryota; Viridiplantae; Streptophyta; Magnoliopsida; Poales; Poaceae. The record is from RNAcentral.